AUAAGUACUUCACAUUAUAUACACAAUUCAAAAUUUAUCUUCUCUUGCCUUUCUUUAUGCCUCAUUAAUCAAAAGUUACAGAUUUAAAUAAAAUCAACACUUUUACAACAUGGUACGUCCAUUAGCAACUGAUAGGUACAACAUAUCCAACUUCUGUCAGUUGGGUGCCUGUUCUAAGCUUACUUCCAUUCAGACUCAGAGAAUUAUCUAUUCAGUGUCACUGUGACUCAAUGUCUCCAUCACAAACACAGAAAAAAAAGUUUAUGAAAGUUUUAAUAUCAAUAAAAAUUAUGACUUGGUAAGAACUAAAGAAACUUAGUCUUAACAAUGGAUAUUAAUUACCUUCUGAAGACAAACAGACAAUAGGUCUCAAAACACAACAUACUCCAAAAGGUGAUGGUACUGGUAUUACUUGCUUUCCCAGUCAAGUUUCGUGACAAUUACCAUACCUCCCUUCCGUUACUCUGGAGGAGCCCUGGGGAAGUUGAGGAAGGCACUGACUUGCAACUGGAAGAUGCAAAGGAAGUCGCAGGGUGAUUCACAAACACUCCUCCUCUCUCUUUCCCCUUUCCAUAGCAGUCACAGAGAACCUGACAAGGAAAGACAACGUGCGUUUAUAAAACCACCUCUCCACCACUUUGUCAAAGAGCCACUGUGUUCACCCCUCUCAGAGCCAGUCUCAUCACCUACCACACAUGCAGCGCCAGACCUGGGAUGAGGGGUAAAAACAUGCCAUCAAGUCCCUGUCUUCAAACCUACAUUUCAGUCAAGAAAACACAUGUGAAAACCUGGAGACUACUAAAACGUAUCAACAAGCACGCAUUAAUAUGACACGGAGUUAGCUAACAAGCUCAGGGAAAGAUCACAAACAAUAUAUACAGCUACUUCACCCUCUCCCGCUAAAAUUACACUGAAGAGACAUUUUUAAAAAAAUUGAAAACAAAACACAGCUCAGGAAGAACUGACAGUGGAAAAAGAAAAUUCUGGAAACUUUGAGAAAAGCUUCUCACACGGAAGAUAAAGACGAAAACAAAUUUUUUAAAAAGAGAAAAAAGAAAAAAAACUUGGAGGAAACAGAAUCUAUGAAAGAUUGGAAGCAUAGUAAAUGACUCAGCAGGCCAAGAAAGCCAGGCCCUAAGCCAGCAGUGGGAAAACUAAGAC
RNAcentral lists this long non-coding RNA (1161 nucleotides) under Capra hircus (goat). RNAcentral describes it as "lncRNA (ENSCHIG00010021598.1)". The record is from RNAcentral. Lineage: Eukaryota; Metazoa; Chordata; Mammalia; Artiodactyla; Bovidae.